CGAACGUCGGUCGGCGUCGCCCCGGCGUGCGACUGGCUUCCCUCGUGCACGGCGCCAUUUGUUAUGACUUCUGGUUCCUCGGAGAAGCAAACAGCCGAACUCGAUCCGCCGCGGAGAAUCAACAAGGCGGGCGGAAAAAAGGUUCUGUGACUUCUGAUUGAAUCUCCCUCCCUCUCUCUGCGAUGCCCUCUGACCUGCUUUGCCGUACGGGCUGUCACAAGCGCGCUCCCCUUGUCACGCGUGUUUAGAUCGGCCAGGAUGAAUUCCCUCAUGACGAACCAGCCUUAAAAACAUUGACUUCCGCGGCAGCUUGAGGUGACGCAAUGACCGCUCACAGGCUUCAGGUCACGCGUGUGCGGCCGGUGACAUUUAUUCAUCGAGCGUAGAGCAGCACGGAAAGCUUCUCUCAGAGGAAGAGACGUUUCUCCAUCAUCUGCCGGGUGGCUCCAGUCGGGAGUUUGAUUGACAGGCGGUCCGUCCAAUCACCAGCCACCUGUUUACUCCGACGUGCCAGAUGGUUCCCCUGUAACAGAACAUCUGGGGGGGGUCAGCUGAGUCCGAGCAAUUAUUAUUGCGGCGAGAAGAAAACUUUACGGCGUACGGCGCCGACAAAAAGAACGUGAGAGUGAUCGAGUGGCAACUUGAAUAUAUGAAAAAUACACGUAAAAGACAAAAAGUGUGUAAAUGAUGUAUUGUAUCCCGCCUUUUUGCACUUGACUAGACAACCACCUAAUGCUUCUCCUCAUAAUCGGACACCGGUUGCGAGCUGUAUUUGUCUCUGAGGUCAGUCACAUGACCCUCAGCUCUCCGGCACGUUCUUGUUCAUAAUUAACCACAUCGCUCCCUGGAUGAAUGAAUCAAUAACUGCUCCAGCCAGUCGGACAGCCUCCCUGGGAUGCCUGUGUGUGUGUGUGUGUGCGUCCCUGUCAUGCUGUGUAAGUAUGUUAAUGCGUGUGUGUGUUUGCCCCCUGUCAUUAGCCCCAAUGAUUGACAAAGUCCUCCCAUUUCACCUCCUCCCUCCCUCCUCCCCUUCCUUCCCUUAUUGACCCUCCUGUCAGCGGGCUGUCAGCGGGACUUCCUCAUGUCAUCAAAAGGAGGACUUUAUCUCGAUGGACAGUCCCUCCCCAUCCCUCAUGUACCUCACGGCUUAUCUGGGAUACUGUAUCUGACAGGGAGGCAAAUUGAGUGCUUUCUUGUAUUUCUGCCUUUAAAAAAUAAAGAGUGUCCACACGGCAGUCAAACGGGUGAGAACGGAGUGUUGGUCACCCCCAGGGGGGUCGAUUUAGGAGGGUUGUUGGGGCUUUUUAGGCUGUACUAAUAAUAAAGGUUGUUAUUUUAUUUCUACUUUGUUCUGUUCCUGUUGUUUGUAUUUAACUGUAAGGGAGUUCUGAACAAAU
This is a long non-coding RNA of Gasterosteus aculeatus aculeatus (three-spined stickleback), 1397 nucleotides long. The record is from Ensembl. NCBI's taxonomy places the organism in Eukaryota, Metazoa, Chordata, Actinopteri, Perciformes, Gasterosteidae.